This 1291-nucleotide ribosomal RNA is filed under the name Clostridioides difficile. RNAcentral's name for it is "partial 23S ribosomal RNA". It matches the Rfam family "Bacterial large subunit ribosomal RNA", at positions 1404 to 2703 of the family's 2925-position model. The record is from RNAcentral. Lineage: Bacteria; Bacillati; Bacillota; Clostridia; Peptostreptococcales; Peptostreptococcaceae.
GAAAGGCGUAGGUGAUGGACAACAGGUUGAUAUUCCUGUACUACCGAUAACCGUUUGAGAGAAGGGAUGACACAGUAGGAUAAGCUAAGCACACUGUUGGUUAUGUGUGCCCAAGCAUUGAGGCAGUCAAAGUAGGCAAAUCCGCUUUGAUAAUGCUGGGAUGUGAUGGGGAGCGAAAUUUAGUAGCGAAGUAGCUGAUUUCACACUGUCAAGAAAAGUCUCUAUCGAGGUUAAAGGUACCCGUACCGCAAACCGACACAGGUGGGUGAGGAGAGUAUCCUAAGGCCAGCGAGAGAACUGUUGUUAAGGAACUCGGCAAAAUGACCCCGUAACUUAGGGAUAAGGGGUGCCACCAUCAGGUGGCCGCAGAGAAUAGGCCCAAGCGACUGUUUACCAAAAACAUAGGUUUCUGCUAAGUCGCAAGACGAUGUAUAGGAGCUGACGCCUGCCCGGUGCUGGAAGGUUAAGGGGAUCUGUUAGAGUAAUCGAAGCAGUGAACUUAAGCCCCAGUAAACGGCGGCCGUAACUAUAACGGUCCUAAGGUAGCGAAAUUCCUUGUCGGGUAAGUUCCGACCCGCACGAAAGGCGUAACGAUUUGGGCACUGUCUCAACAACAGACUCGGUGAAAUUGUAAUUCCGGUGAAGAUGCCGGAUACCUGCGACAGGACGGAAAGACCCCAUGGAGCUUUACUGUAGCUUGACAUUGGGUCUUGGUACUACAUGUACAGGAUAGGUGGGAGGCUUUGAAACCAGGACGCCAGUUUUGGCGGAGCCAUCCUUGGGAUACCACCCUUGUAGUACUGGGACUCUAACCAUAGGCCAUGAAUCUGGUCUUGGGACACUGUCAGGUGGGCAGUUUGACUGGGGCGGUCGCCUCCCAAAAGGUAACGGAGGCGCUCAAAGGUUCUCUCAGUACGGUCGGAAAUCGUACGUAGAGUGUAAAGGCAAAAGAGAGCUUGAUUGCAAGACAUACAGGUCGAGCAAGGAUGAAAAUCGGACUUAGUGAUCCGGUGGUUCUGCGUGGAAGGGCCAUCGCUCAACGGAUAAAAGCUACCCUGGGGAUAACAGGCUUAUCUCCCCCAAGAGUCCACAUCGACGGGGAGGUUUGGCACCUCGAUGUCGGCUCAUCACAUCCUGGGGCUGUAGUAGGUCCCAAGGGUUGGGCUGUUCGCCCAUUAAAGUGGUACGCGAGCUGGGUUCAGAACGUCGUGAGACAGUUCGGUCCCUAUCCGUCGCAGGCGUAGGAAAUUUGAGAAGACCUGUCCUUAGUACGAGAGGACCGGGAUGGACG